Poecile atricapillus (Black-capped chickadee) is the source of this 559-nucleotide long non-coding RNA. RefSeq lists it as uncharacterized. Lineage: Eukaryota; Metazoa; Chordata; Aves; Passeriformes; Paridae. The transcript has 3 exons. The record is from RefSeq and is a predicted model, not a curated record.
CAUGGCGACUCCUGAGGGCUCAGUCCCGUGCUACCGGUCGGGAGGACUCUGUGCCCCUCUGUGCCCCAGUCGUGCCCAUGAGAGGGAUCUCGCUAAGGGCAAGCGGGUGGCUUCAGGCUGCUCAGGAAGAAGUCUUAACGGGGAUCCUGAUUCUGCUCCAAAGCAGCAGUUAUUUGGACAUCCCUCUGAUACUGGCUACAAACAAGCAGCAAGGACAGCAAGAGGCACAGGGCUCUGCUUUGCUGGCUGCAGGACGUGGAAGGCAGCAGGGAGACCUCAGGAGAACCCCAGGGGUGUUCCAUCCCGAGAAGUCUCUUGUGCAGCAGCACCCCACCUCUCCCACCCCGUGGGCUUCAGGAGCACCACGCUUUGAUCACACAUCAGCCCCACCUGGAGCAGGGACAGCUUACAAAUAACCAAGGGAAAAAGAAGACACAUGAAUGGACACUGACUACCACACACAACAACAGCCCUGCAGGUCAACUCACGGCCUCUUCAGAAUGAAAAAGAAAGGAGAAAAGAAGAGCUCAAGACAAGAAAAACAGAAAAAAAAAAGGAA